GCCGGGCGUGGUGGCUCAUGCCUGUAAUCCCAGCACUUUGGGAGGCUGAGGUGGGUGGAUCACCUGAGGUCAGGAGUUCAAGACCAGCCUGGCCAACAUGGUGAAACCCCAUCUCUA
This is a non-coding RNA of Pan troglodytes (chimpanzee), 117 nucleotides long. It matches the Rfam family "Metazoan signal recognition particle RNA". Rfam says of the family: The signal recognition particle (SRP) is a universally conserved ribonucleoprotein. It is involved in the co-translational targeting of proteins to membranes. The eukaryotic SRP consists of a 300-nucleotide 7S RNA and six proteins: SRPs 72, 68, 54, 19, 14, and 9. Lineage: Eukaryota; Metazoa; Chordata; Mammalia; Primates; Hominidae. The record is from Rfam.